CGUGGCUUACAACCGCACUUCAUAAGGUACAAAAGUAUGCUUGCAUCACCUUACUUGGCGAGUCUUAACGAAAGA
This is a regulatory RNA element of Erysipelotrichaceae bacterium MTC7, 75 nucleotides long. NCBI's taxonomy places the organism in Bacteria, Bacillati, Bacillota, Erysipelotrichia, Erysipelotrichales, Erysipelotrichaceae. The record is from Rfam.